This 465-nucleotide ribosomal RNA is filed under the name uncultured bacterium. RNAcentral's name for it is "partial 16S ribosomal RNA". It matches the Rfam family "Bacterial small subunit ribosomal RNA", at positions 28 to 507 of the family's 1533-position model. The record is from RNAcentral.
GAUGAACGUUGGCGGCGUGCUUAACACAUGCAAGUCGAACGGAAAGGCUCCUGCUUGCAGGGGUACUCGAGUGGCGAACGGGUGAGUAACACGUGGGUGAUCUGCCCUGCACUUCGGGAUAAGCCUGGGAAACUGGGUCUAAUACCGGAUAGGACGAUGGUUUGGAUGCCAUUGUGGAAAGUUUUUCGGUGUGGGAUGAGCUCGCGGCCUAUCAGCUUGUUGGUGGGGUAAUGGCCUACCAAGGCGUCGACGGGUAGCCGGCCUGAGAGGGUGUACGGCCACAUUGGGACUGAGAUACGGCCCAGACUCCUACGGGAGGCAGCAGUGGGGAAUAUUGCACAAUGGGCGCAAGCCUGAUGCAGCGACGCCGCGUGGGGGAUGACGGCCUUCGGGUUGUAAACUCCUUUCGCUAGGGACGAAGCGCAAGUGACGGUACCUGGAGAAGAAGCACCGGCUAACUACGUG